CAAAAAACGUUGAUGAGGAAUAGUAGUUGUUCGAUGACUUUCAGAGAUCUGCUGGUUGGUGUGAAGCAGAAGUUAAAAAAUGACGAACUCACCCCGGAGUUACUUGCUGAAAUGUUGCCGAUGAAGAGUUGGUGCCAUAGUAGGUUAAGUCGGACGCCCACCGUUACAGGGGAUGGAUAUCGGUUUUAUAAACCCGUAUUGAAGACAACCCAUAUAAAAAUAGAGUGGUAUAGCAGAUUUUCGUCUGUCUCGUUUGGAGACAGGCGUUUUUUUAUAUGAACAGAACCUUCAGGUAUGUGGAUAUUAAAGGGUAUCGAGAAAGUGCAUACAGUUGCCUGUAUGAAUAAGAGUGGUACCGCGGAAAACUCCCUUUUCGUCUCUGAU
This 384-nucleotide non-coding RNA is filed under the name Acetobacterium woodii. RNAcentral's name for it is "T-box sequence". It matches the Rfam family "T-box leader". Rfam says of the family: Uncharged tRNA acts as the effector for transcription antitermination of genes in the T-box leader family. The record is from RNAcentral. Lineage: Bacteria; Bacillati; Bacillota; Clostridia; Eubacteriales; Eubacteriaceae.